This is a long non-coding RNA of Ooceraea biroi (clonal raider ant), 4509 nucleotides long. RefSeq lists it as uncharacterized. NCBI's taxonomy places the organism in Eukaryota, Metazoa, Arthropoda, Insecta, Hymenoptera, Formicidae. The record is from RefSeq and is a predicted model, not a curated record.
AUAAGAUUUUGCUGUAAAUGUUACGUGGGAGGGCUGACUGAUCGCAUUACGUCUCAUAAACAACGUUACUAUCGUAGUGUAUAUGGUAUCGCAGCGAUUAUCAAGGUCUAGUAUUUGCACAUGCACGAUGAGAAGAUACGGAGUAUCUUUGUAUUAAUAUGUGCUGCAUUGUCAUAAAAAUCUUGAGAGGAAAUUGAAGUGAUAAAAUCUCGAAGGUAAUACAUAAAAGUCUCAAUAGAGUAUUAAAUGACAAUUUACAUUUGUCACAUGUCCUAAAACUUUAUUUACAACAAUUCAUAGAUGUUUAAUUUGACAUAAGGUACUAUUAAGUUUAUAUCGCCAGGAUAAAUUAAUAAUCAAGACUUUCCUUUCCCUCGAUCAGUCUGGCAAAAUUUAUUUGUACUUAGGUACACGACCAAGUUUUCGGUCCUUAUCAAGUGUAUAACAUUAAUAUUAGCAAGUCAUUUUCUGCAAUAAAUACACAGGCAAAGUAAUAUAAUAUAAAAGUUAUACAAAUUAUUAGGAUGAACAACUUACUGAAAACACAUCCUUACAUUACAGAGGCCAGCAAACAAGUGAUAAGUAUGAGAAAAUGCUAUGUGUUUUUGUCAUUGUCUUAUAUUUAUCACUUGUUUGCUGGCCUCUGUGAUGUAAGGAUGUGUUUUUCAUCAGGAAUAUCUCGCACACUAUUCGUUAUUUCGGAAGUCAUUUUCAACCAAAAAUGAUUUGCUAAUAUUAAUGUUAUACACUUGAUAAAAUUUACAAAGAGACACAGAGAAUCUACCGGUUGUUUAUGACAUACUUCUCAAAAACACAUAGCAUUGUCUCAUCACUUGUUCGCUGGCCUCUGUCCUUUGUGAUGUAAGGAUGUUUUUCGUCAGGAAUAUCUCGCACACUAUUCGUUAUUUCGGAAGUCAUUUUCAACCAGUAAGUUGUUCAUCCUAAUAAUUUUUAUAACUUUUAUUAUAUUACUUUGCCUUUGUAUUUAUUACAGAAAAUGACUUGCUAAUAUUAAUGUUAUAUACUUGAUAAAAUUUACAAAGAGACACAGAGAAUCUACCGGUUGUUUAUGACAUACUUCUCAAAAACACAUAGCAUUGUCUCAUCACUUGUUCGCUGGCCUCUGUCCUUUGUGAUGUAAGGAUGUUUUUCGUCAGGAAUAUCUCGCACACUAUUCGUUAUUUCGGAAGUCAUUUUCAACCAGUAAGUUGUUCAUCCUAAUAAUUUUUAUAACUUUUAUUAUAUUACUUUGCCUUUGUAUUUAUUACAGAAAAUGACUUGCUAAUAUUAAUGUUAUAUACUUGAUAAAAUUUACAAAGAGACACAGAGAAUCUACCGGUUGUUUAUGACAUACUUCUCAAAAACACAUAGCAUUGUCUCAUCACUUGUUUGCUGGCCUCUGUCUUUUGUGAUGUAAAGAUGUUUUUCGUCAGGAAUAUCUCGCACACUAUUCGUUAUUUCGGAAGUCAUUUUCAACCAGUAAGUUGUUCAUCCUAAUAAUUUUUAUAACUUUUAUUAUAUUACUUUGCCUUUGUAUUUAUUACAGAAAAUGACUUGCUAAUAUUAAUGUUAUAUACUUGAUAAGGCUCGAAACGUCGUGUACCUAACAAUAAGUACAAAUAAUUUGCCAGACUGAUCGAGGGAAAGGAAAAUCUUAAUUAUUAAUUUGACAUAAACUUUAUGAAACUUUAUGCGCAUUCUGCAUCCUUGAAAGGAUAGAAAAUAUAUAAUUCUUUUCUCGGCAAUAAAUAAGCUUUUAUUUAAACGCUUUGAAUUUUGUGUACACUGUGUUCUAUUAAUGUCUAAGUUUCAGUCGCUAAAAGUACUGCGACAAUGCUCAAGACAAUGUUUCAGGGACGAGUAACAAUUUGUGAGCAGUCGCGCUAUCAAAAACGUAUAUAGUGUGUCGAGCAAGAAAAUAUAAUACAAUCGGAAGUACUCGCUUACUAUCGAUAUUGAUCUCCCCAGACUAAAAUAGUUACUAUUAUUCAUUACGAAAACGUAAAACAUAAUACUUGUUCUCUUCUUCUUUAAUAUUAUUAACGCAUAACUUAAGAAUUUUCGCAGGAAACGGGAGAGGAAUAAUUCCUUUUCUGACAAGGAGUGCACGUAACUGAGCAGCCUAAGAACUAUACCCAACAUUAUAAUUAUGUCGUUAGUUGUAUAAUUAUAUACAUAUCACUUGGAAAAAUUAUCAAACGCAUCGGACACACAAACGUUUAAGCAAAGUUUGAAAAUACUUAAAAAUACGGAAAUCAGAAUAACAAGCGUGUUCUCUCUAUGCUUAACGGUGCCAUUUAAUUUUUUCCUUGGAUAUCAAGAUAGGCCAAAACACUUUGUAUUUUAAAAUUCUUUAGCUGUUAAACCGUCGAAGACGAAGAAGUUAGCAAAUACACAUGUAGUUGGAUUUGAGAAAAAGAAACGAGUCGUUUUCCUUGAAAAAGGAAUAACGACUGCGAAUGUCUUUUAAUGUAUGAUUUCCACAUCGAUCUUUUUGAUUCAAAGCUGCACUUUAAGUUUUGAAAAUAUCGCCGAGCUUCCCAAAAUGAAAGACAUUCCUCAAAGCAAUAGAAAUCUUAUAACAGACGAAUAGAAGAGUUUCAAGGAAGCAUUUUCUCUCCUACAUUUAUUUAUUUUUUAGCAGUAUUCAUACGUCUGCAAUGAAAUUAAUUGUGUGUUCCCAAUGAUUAAUUACAUUUUAAAUGAGUCCGAAUAGCAAUCAUUUGCGUAUCAUCGUCGAUAUCUUAAUAUUUAUUUGCUUUUCUUCUUGAUUGCGAUAAAAAUCAAAAAGUUACAAUUAAAUUUAAUUAAUUAAAUCUGAUUGUUUCUUAAAUGAAUAAAUAUAAAAUUCCUUAUAUAACGUGCGCUAUUACAAUUAAAACUAAGUUGCCGUCAAAUAAUACAGAAAUAAUGCAUUUUUUCCGCAAUCUUUUUUCUUAGGAUGACGUAACGUGAACCUCGGACGGUAUGACUCUCUGAAACGCAAACGAGUGGAAUAACGGCUUCUCAUGUAAACCUGUUCUUGCCGCAUCAUGCGGUUUUGAGUUGUCAUUUAAUUGACGUUAUCAAUUCUUUUAGAACGGAUAUGCCGCUUAUUGCGUCAUUGCGUGCGAUAUCGCAUAUCGAAAGGAAACGUUGUCUCAAAUUGUCCGUUUAUGCCUGCGCUUGAACGACUAGCCUCUAGGUUUGUGUCCCUUAUGCACGAAAGGGUAAGGGCGUACGCUUCUUACGUAGAAAAAAGGGAAGAAAGUAAGUAGGUACGACGUCGUCACUAUUCUAAGCGAUUCAAAAAAUAGGUACUUUACGAGGUAAUUUAGAUGCGCGGUUGGCAUGUAUAAUGCCUUAGUUAUUUACAAUGGCACACACGCGUCACGUUUCAUCGAAUUCGUAAUGUCAUUAAUAUACAAUGUAAUCUCCUGGCCGCUCCUAUUUUACACACCCUUCAUGUCACCAUCCACCCUUUCCCUGCGCCUCGGCGCGCUCGCAUUUCCAUACUGCCGCAGAGCAAUUAAUCUGGCCUGUCGUCCGCGUUAAUUGCCCGCGGUAUUAUUCUCGCUGCAAUCCGUGCAGUGAAUCCCGCUCUCAGCCUAAAGUAUGUACAAUGUGAAUAAGACAGGAUGAUCAAUGGUGGCAUUUCCCGUGUUCUGGAUCACAACGCGCGUCGCGCGACGCAGCAAAUCACCCCGAAUUCGCACAGCGAACAGUGAUCCCCGUAUCGCGCCAUGCGAUCCAAUAAUCUAUUAUUGACAUUACGGUUAUUCGACCGGCGCAUCACCGGUAUCAUCACGCAUUUUCGUACGGACGAGAACUCAGGAGAGACGGAGCCUGGUGUACCGACCACUCGUUGAUCAUCCUAACGCGGAAUCGGUAUACAAUAUUUUCCGUAUCGAAAAAUAGCUGGACCAGCCAAACAACGGCGUAUCUACGCUCGACGCCAUCCGCGAGGGAGGAGCUACUUGACGAAAAAGAAAAAAAAUCUAUCCUGCGACAGUCGCGUGUAUAUUCGCGGAAGGUGCACGAGAUCACCUCUCAUGCGACACCGAAUGCCGAGUGUACCUCAUGAAUAUAUCCUGCACUGGUAGUAUAUUGCAUCGAAAUGUCACGUAAUGGCACCGCGUGACGCCUCGAAUACUCAUUUUCGCUUUAUCCGACGAAAUGAGGGUCAUUAAUAAAAGCACGCGCCGCUGCGACGUUUUUUAAGUGGUGGAAUUAAUGCUGUUACAGCUGAGGAUUGCACGCGCGCGCGCGUGUUUAAACAAAAGUUUCAAAUGUGUGUAAAAUUUAAGCCAUUCGCAGAGCCUGUAUGUAAAAUAAUUAUUUUCUUGCGCAACAUAUUCUAAUCAAUUAAAAGCAUAACUCCUGUAUACCUGACGUAAUUAUAUGCCGAACUGAGCGCCGAACGUACAACUGUAUAAUGCAGAUUUAAUCGAUCAUGUUCCUACCGUUUAAAAUUGUUCAUUAAAAUGAUCUUUUUGUACAUUAAAUAUAUAAAAAAUUGUUUAAAUUAUA